RNAcentral lists this ribosomal RNA (333 nucleotides) under Triticum aestivum (bread wheat). RNAcentral's name for it is "partial small subunit ribosomal RNA". The record is from RNAcentral. Lineage: Eukaryota; Viridiplantae; Streptophyta; Magnoliopsida; Poales; Poaceae.
AUGAAUCUAGUGUUGAUCGUGCAGCUUUUGUGGAGUUUGUGCUUGGCUUGUCAGGAUAUAUUUUCUCUGAGGAAUAAUAGGGAUCUUCAUGCCCCGGAUUUUCUAUUGUUCUUUGUUAUAAUUGAUUGGGUCAUGGCGAUUCACAUGUUCUCUGGAUUCUGUGCCUCUGCCAGCGUGACGAUUUUCUUCAUGAAGGAUAUGAACUUCUGCGCGGAAUACCGACAUCUGGACUGCAAUCAGUUCACACUUUCAGUCACUCUGGCGUUCUUUACAUGGUUGUUGCAAGCUGCGUCUUCUUUCUCUGGGUUCUGGCUACUGAUUUCAUUCUUCUAG